UGGGGAAUAUUGGACAAUGGAGGAAACUCUGAUCCAGCAAUUCUGUGUGUGUGAAGAAGGUUUUAGGACUGUAAAACACUUUUAGUAGGGAAGAAAAAAAUGACGGUACCUACAGAAGAAGCAACGGCUAAAUACGUGCCAGCAGCCGCGUUAAUACGUAUGUUGCGAGCGUUAUCCGGAAUUAUUGGGCUUAAAGGGCAUCUAGGCGGUAAGACAAGUUGAAGGUGAAAACCUGUGGCUCAACCAUAGGCUUGCCUACAAAACUGUUGAACUAGAGUACUGGAAAGGUGGGUGGAACUACACGAGUAGAGGUGAAAUUCGUAGAUAUGUGUAGGAAUGCCGAUGAUGAAGAUAACUCACUGGACAGAAACUGACGCUGAAGUGCGAAAGCUAGGGGAGCAAACAGG
Molecule: ribosomal RNA, 407 nt
Filed under: Verrucomicrobiota bacterium
Lineage: Bacteria; Pseudomonadati; Verrucomicrobiota
Description: Verrucomicrobia bacterium partial 16S ribosomal RNA
Rfam family: Bacterial small subunit ribosomal RNA
Source: RNAcentral